Molecule: ribosomal RNA, 429 nt
Filed under: Gemmatimonadota bacterium
Lineage: Bacteria; Pseudomonadati; Gemmatimonadota
Description: Gemmatimonadetes bacterium partial 16S ribosomal RNA
Rfam family: Bacterial small subunit ribosomal RNA
Source: RNAcentral
UAGGGAAUCUUCGGCAAUGGACGAAAGUCUGACCGAGCAACGCCGCGUGAGUGAAGAAGGUUUUCGGAUCGUAAAACUCUGUUGUUAGAGAAGAACAAGGACGUUAGUAACUGAACGUCCCCUGACGGUAUCUAACCAGAAAGCCACGGCUAACUACGUGCCAGCAGCCGCGGUAAUACGUAGGUGGCAAGCGUUGUCCGGAUUUAUUGGGCGUAAAGCGAGCGCAGGCGGUUUCUUAAGUCUGAUGUGAAAGCCCCCGGCUCAACCGGGGAGGGUCAUUGGACACUGGGAGACUUGAGUGCAGAAGAGGAGAGUGGAAUUCCAUGUGUAGCGGUGAAAUGCGUAGAUAUAUGGAGGAACACCAGUGGCGAAGGCGGCUCUCUGGUCUGUAACUGACGCUGAGGCUCGAAAGCGUGGGGAGCAAACAGG